CUAAUACAUGCAAGUCGAGCGAGCGGAACCAACAGAUUUACUUCGGUAAUGACGUUGGGAGAGCGAGCGGCGGAUGGGUGAGUAACACGUGGGGAACCUGCCCCUAAGUCUGGGAUACCAUUUGGAAACAGGUGCUAAUACCGGAUAAUAAAGCAGAUCGCAUGAUCAGCUUUUGAAAGGCGGCGUAAGCUGUCGCUAAGGGAUGGCCCCGCGGUGCAUUAGCUAGUUGGUAAGGUAACGGCUUACCAAGGCGACGAUGCAUAGCCGAGUUGAGAGACUGAUCGGCCACAUUGGGACUGAGACACGGCCCAAACUCCUACGGGAGGCAGCAGUAGGGAAUCUUCCACAAUGGACGCAAGUCUGAUGGAGCAACGCCGCGUGAGUGAAGAAGGUUUUCGGAUCGUAAAGCUCUGUUGUUGGUGAAGAAGGAUAGAGGUAGUAACUGGCCUUUAUUUGACGGUAAUCAACCAGAAAGUCACGGCUAACUACGUGCCAGCAGCCGCGGUAAUACGUAGGUGGCAAGCGUUGUCCGGAUUUAUUGGGCGUAAAGCGAGCGCAGGCGGAAAAAUAAGUCUAAUGUGAAAGCCCUCGGCUUAACCGAGGAACUGCAUCGGAAACUGUUUUUCUUGAGUGCAGAAGAGGAGAGUGGACUCCAUGUGUAGCGGUGGAUGCGUAGAUAUAUGGAAGACACCAGUGGCGAAG
This 702-nucleotide ribosomal RNA is filed under the name uncultured Bacilli bacterium. RNAcentral describes it as "bacterial SSU rRNA". It matches the Rfam family "Bacterial small subunit ribosomal RNA", at positions 48 to 720 of the family's 1533-position model. Lineage: Bacteria; Bacillati; Bacillota; Bacilli. The record is from RNAcentral.